This 27-nucleotide small RNA is filed under the name Bombyx mori (domestic silkworm). RNAcentral's name for it is "ovarian small RNA-2809". The record is from RNAcentral. Lineage: Eukaryota; Metazoa; Arthropoda; Insecta; Lepidoptera; Bombycidae.
GUCGAGUUUAGGCCCAGUGUCCGAUAC